Long non-coding RNA from Chinchilla lanigera (long-tailed chinchilla), 1707 nucleotides. RefSeq lists it as uncharacterized. NCBI's taxonomy places the organism in Eukaryota, Metazoa, Chordata, Mammalia, Rodentia, Chinchillidae. The transcript has 2 exons. The record is from RefSeq and is a predicted model, not a curated record.
CCAAGGCUACCUUGACUGUGUGUGUGUGUGUGUGUGUGUGUGUGUGUGUGUGUCUUUCCCUCUCCAUCCCCUCCAUUCAGUGGUGUAAGCAGGAGCUUGUGGGAGGUUCCUGUGGGUGUGGAUGUUGGGGGUGACUGACCUCUCUUGCCCGUGCACCCCAGAAGGAAGUCCUGCUGGGUGUCGGGAGGAGGGGCUGGUGCGGGCAGCGGGAGGGUGUGGGCAGGUGCAGCUAAGCAGCUGCGAAGCUGACGACGAUGUGCGACUCCUGGUGAGGAGCUCAGGACUUGGCACUGAUCCUGGCAGCUGUGCCACAGCGGCCUUGCUGAGCUGUGGACUGCUCACCUCGAGAACAGCACCCCCGCCGUUGGGGAGAGGGCUGUCAGGGCAGUGUGACUUCUGGCACCAGCUCCUGGCUGGGUUCAGGGGACAUUCCCCCUCUUACUUUGCUGAGCCUUGCCGGGUAGGGGGAGAACUUCUUUUACUUGGGUUCUUGCGUUCUGCUGUUUUCGUGUCUUUCCCUUUAGUGUCUUUAGCAUCUUGCGUUCUGCUGCUCUAGCGUUGUUCCCACACCUUGCCCCAGUGUUCUCGCUUACCUCAGCUGGGGCGGAGGGGCUCCAGAUCCCCAGGAACCCCUUCAUUUUACAAAGAGGGAGAUUCUCAGAAUUGAGUAAAGCGCUGAAACACAAGUAACAUGCUUAAGACAAUGGCAGAGCUGGAGCUGGACCCUGGGGCUCAUUGCUCCCCUGGCUGCUCCUCCCGCUCCAGCCCGCCUUCCUUUCCCUGCGUUUCCACCACUGUUUGAGAGGCUGCUACAAAACCGUGAACUCACUCCCCAAAAGAACAAACCUUCACAUACAUUUGAUGAACAGCUUGAGUCAGGGACUUGCAACCCAAGCCCCUAUCACGGCCUCCUAUCUCUACGCCCCCAGUAGCUUUAUCAGAUACCCCCUUGCUGCUGGAACAGUCUUCCAGAUGCCAGACAGAAACAGCUCCGCAGCCAGCUGGACUCAGCUUGUCUGGCUAGAACCUGAGCAGUGGGGAAGGGCUGAGAGAGUUACCAGAAUAAACAUCCCUGGAGAAAGUCCAUGCGGUCAGAGCCGAGGGAUGAUGACCUUUGGGUUGGCCUUUGGGUUCAAGUGCUUGGAGUAUUAGGGCUGUAAAGUGACUUGGUGUAGGGAAGGGCCGUGUCCCCAGCAUCAUCACGUCUGCUCACACCCAGGACGGGGGUGAGGGUGACAAGGGGGAGUGCUGCCCUCCAGCUGCCCUCCGGAGAAGUCCUGCCACCUUGACCCAUUCACCCUGCGCAUGAUGGACUGGGAGGCGCCUGGACUGUGACCCACCCCAGGGUCCUUGCACCCAGCUGCAGCCUCUGAGCUCUUCCCUGAGACCCUCUGAAGUACUAUUGGGUGUGGGCCUGUGGGGUCUGUGCUGUGGGACCUCCUGGAAGCGACCACAUACCUGGGUGCUCAGUGCCGGAGAUGCUGACUGUGGCGUCUGUCCUGCAGGUGUCUGUGCACAUGAAUGCAACCCCUAUCCUGCCUGGUGCGGGCAGCACUGAUGUGAGAGGCCACCGAUGUGUCCCUGUGGCGGGCUAUUGGUCAGUGCCAUAUUCUUGAAAGCCAAGAGUGCCUAAGCAAUCCUGUAGUGCCCCAUCACUUUCUAUGGCUUGUUAUUAAAUAUGCUGGUCAUACAAGUUUCUGGUAUACA